UACGUAGGCAGCGAGCGUUGUUCGGAGUUACUGGGCGUAAAGGGUGUGUAGGCGGUUUUCUAAGUUUGGUGUGAAAUCUCCCGGCUCAACCGGGAGGGUGCGCCGAAAACUGGGAGACUAGAGUGCGGGAUGGGAGAGUAGAAUUCCCGGUGUAGCGGUGAAAUGCGCAGAUAUCGGGAGGAACACCUAUGGCGAAGGCAGCUCGCUGGGACGUUACUGACGCUGAGACGCGAAAGCGUGGGGAGCAAACAGG
RNAcentral lists this ribosomal RNA (253 nucleotides) under uncultured bacterium. Its description in RNAcentral is "partial 16S ribosomal RNA". It matches the Rfam family "Bacterial small subunit ribosomal RNA", at positions 524 to 776 of the family's 1533-position model. The record is from RNAcentral.